AUACGUAGGUGACAAGCGUUAUCCGGAUUUACUGGGCGUAAAGGGCGUGUAGGCGGUCUUGCAAGUCAGAAGUGAAAUUCCUGAGCUCAACUCGGGCGCUGCUUCUGAAACUGCAGGACUUGAGUGCUGGAGGGGAUAGCGGAAUUCCUAGUGGAGCGGUAAAAUGCGCAGAUAUUAGGAAGAACACCGGUGGCGAAGGCGGCUAACUGGAGAGGAACUGACGCUGGGGCGCGAAAGCGGGGGGAGAAAACAGGAUUAGAUACCCUGGUAGUCCACGCCGUAAACGAUGAGUACUAGGUGUAGGGGGUAUCGACUCCCUCUGUGCCGCAGUUAACACAAUAAGUAUUCCGCCUGGGGAGUACGGCCGCAAGGUUGAAACUUAAAGGAAUUGACGGGG
RNAcentral lists this ribosomal RNA (397 nucleotides) under uncultured bacterium. Its description in RNAcentral is "partial 16S ribosomal RNA". It matches the Rfam family "Bacterial small subunit ribosomal RNA", at positions 523 to 918 of the family's 1533-position model. The record is from RNAcentral.